UCCUACGGGAGGCAGCAGUGGGGAAUCUUGCACAAUGGAGGAAACUCUGAUGCAGCGAUGCCGCGUGAGUGAAGAAGGCCCUUGGGUUGUAAAGCUCUUUCGUCGGGGAAGAAAAUGACUGUACCCGAAUAAGAAGGUCCGGCUAACUUCGUGCCAGCAGCCGCGGUAAUACGAAGGGACCUAGCGUAGUUCGGAAUUACUGGGCUUAAAGAGUUCGUAGGUGGUUGAAAAAGUUAGUGGUGAAAUCCCAGAGCUUAACUCUGGAACUGCCAUUAAAACUUUUCAGCUAGAGUAUGAUAGAGGAAAGCAGAAUUUCUAGUGUAGAGGUGAAAUUCGUAGAUAUUAGAAAGAAUACCAAUUGCGAAGGCAGCUUUCUGGAUCAUUACUGACACUGAGGAACGAAAGCAUGGGUAGCGAAGAGGAUUAGAUACCCUCGUAGUCCAUGCCGUAAACGAUGUGUGUUAGACGUUGGAAAUUUAUUUUCAGUGUCGCAGCGAAAGCGAUAAACACACCGCCUGGGGAGUACGAUCGCAAGGUUAAAACUCA
RNAcentral lists this ribosomal RNA (546 nucleotides) under uncultured bacterium. Its description in RNAcentral is "bacterial SSU rRNA". It matches the Rfam family "Bacterial small subunit ribosomal RNA", at positions 337 to 903 of the family's 1533-position model. The record is from RNAcentral.